CCCCAGGGCCGGGUUUCCACACCCGAAAUGCCGCAGCCCGGGCAGGACUUAGCUCGGGCAGGGCUUGCCCUCAGGAAGGAUUUAUCCCUCGCUGUAGGGCUGUAGUGAAACUGUGUGGAAGUUCACCUUGCAGAUCAUCUCCAGAUCCAUCAUCACGAAGCUGCGGCAGGAGGACCUUGCCCUGACCAACACCAGACUACUGCUUUGUCUGCAGGAACUGGGAGCAGAAGCAUGCAGCCCUCUGCAACCUCUAUGGCAGCAUUUCCAGGCCUUAAUCUUCUGCCAGUUACAGUUCCAGUUGCUGAUAAAAACAGAAGUCUCCGCAGUGAUCAACGUGGUGGAGAGGUGAUACAAGAGGUGUAAUGAGAAAGGGACUGAACACAAUAGAAAGGUGUUAUAAGGGAAGGAAAAGAGGACUGCUCGCCUGUCUCCAGAGAUCUAGGCUCACGGGGGGAAAACUCUGCAGAGGAGGGAUCUCUGGAAAGAAAACCUUCCAGUUCCAGUUCCUGAUAAAAACAGAAGUCUCCGCAGUGGUCUGUAGCAGCUGAGCAUUCUCAAGGCUGGUAUUGCUGUUCUCUGUACACUAUUUUCCUUCUUUAUGUGCUCACUAUUGACUUUUCAAUCUUAAGUAUAUUACAAAAAAUGUUGAAAACAUACUUGCCCUUAAAGUGAGUAAGGUAGCAAGCUGUGGAGCAGACUUGGGUUCAGAUUUUCAUUGCAGUAAUCAUUUUGAGACUCGUUUGCUUCUGUCAGUCCUGUAACAUAAAAAUCUUUUGCAAGGGAAAAACUUCAGUGCGUUCUUUUUGUCUUUGUUAUUUCUGAGAUCCUGGCUACCACGCGGGACAGUAUGGGUAAGUGACAAACAAACACACAGUUUUUUCUGGGGAGAGCAGGGUCUGAUGUGCGGGCAUGAACUAUUAAAUCAGCCAGUUGAAUGAAGCUCUCGUUACUUCAUUCUACAUUGCAGAGUUCUCCAUUAGCCACAUAAGGAGCACUGGAACUAUAAAGUAAAAAUGCUAUGCUGCUCUCAACAGGAAAAAAAAAGUGUCCUGUAGAAACAACAGGACUCUGAGGGAAGGGGGAGGAGGCGCUUAGAAGAGCUCUGUGCAAACAGUGGUGUACAGGUUUUGCUGAACUGCUUACAUGAAGUGAUUUUCUUUCAGGCUUGACCAUAUCUCUGUAGUCACAUGCCAUACAAGACUCUCCC
RNAcentral lists this long non-coding RNA (1207 nucleotides) under Gallus gallus (chicken). Its description in RNAcentral is "lncRNA (ENSGALG00010026158.1)". Lineage: Eukaryota; Metazoa; Chordata; Aves; Galliformes; Phasianidae. The record is from RNAcentral.